This 253-nucleotide ribosomal RNA is filed under the name uncultured bacterium. RNAcentral describes it as "partial 16S ribosomal RNA". It matches the Rfam family "Bacterial small subunit ribosomal RNA", at positions 524 to 776 of the family's 1533-position model. The record is from RNAcentral.
UACGUAGGUGGCGAGCGUUGUCCGGAUUUACUGGGCGUAAAGAGCGCGCAGGCGGUCGUUCAAGUCGCGUGUUAAAGCCCCCGGCUCAACUGGGGAGGGUCACGCGAUACUGAUCGACUCGAAGGCAGGAGAGGGUAGUGGAAUUCCCGGUGUAGUGGUGAAAUGCGUAGAUAUCGGGAGGAACACCAGUGGCGAAGGCGACUACCUGGCCUGUUCUUGACGCUGAGGCGCGAAAGCUAGGGGAGCAAACGGG